UACGUAGGGGGCGAGCGUUGUCCGGAGUUACUGGGCGUAAAGGGCAUGCAGGCGGUCAGGCGCGUUUUGUGUGACAGCGGAUGGCUUAACUGUCCGAGGAUGCGAAAGACGGCGUGACUUGAGAGCGCGAGAGGGACACGGAAUUCCGGGUGGAGUGGUGAAAUGCGUAGAGAUCCGGAGGAACACCGAAGGCGAAGGCAGUGUCCUGGCGCGUAUCUGACGCUGAGGUGCGAAAGCCAGGGGAGCGAACGGG
Molecule: ribosomal RNA, 253 nt
Filed under: uncultured bacterium
Lineage: Bacteria
Also listed under: 1 other name
Description: partial 16S ribosomal RNA
Rfam family: Bacterial small subunit ribosomal RNA
Source: RNAcentral